RNAcentral lists this ribosomal RNA (760 nucleotides) under uncultured bacterium. Its description in RNAcentral is "bacterial SSU rRNA". It matches the Rfam family "Bacterial small subunit ribosomal RNA", at positions 28 to 801 of the family's 1533-position model. The record is from RNAcentral.
GACGAACGCUGGCGGCGCGCCUAACACAUGCAAGUCGAACGAGCGAGAGAGAGCUUGCUUUCUCGAGCGAGUGGCGAACGGGUGAGUAACGCGUGAGGAACCUGCCUCAAAGAGGGGGACAACAGUUGGAAACGACUGCUAAUACCGCAUAAGCCCACGACCCGGCAUCGGGUUGAGGGAAAAGGAGCAAUCCGCUUUGAGAUGGCCUCGCGUCCGAUUAGCUAGUUGGUGAGGUAAUGGCCCACCAAGGCGACGAUCGGUAGCCGGACUGAGAGGUUGAACGGCCACAUUGGGACUGAGACACGGCCCAGACUCCUACGGGAGGCAGCAGUGGGGAAUAUUGCACAAUGGGGGAAACCCUGAUGCAGCGACGCCGCGUGGAGGAAGAAGGUCUUCGGAUUGUAAACUCCUGUUGUUGAGGAAGAUAAUGACGGUACUCAACAAGGAAGUGACGGCUAACUACGUGCCAGCAGCCGCGGUAAAACGUAGGUCACAAGCGUUGCCCGGAAUUACUGGGUGUAAAGGGAGCGCAGGCGGGAAGACAAGUUGGAAGUGAAAUCUAUGGGCUCAACCCAUAAACUGCUUUCAAAACUGUUUUUCUUGAGUAGUGCAGAGGUAGGCGGAAUUCCCGGUGUAGCGGUGGAAUGCGUAGAUAUCGGGAGGAACACCAGUGGCGAAGGCGGCCUACUGGGCACCAACUGACGCUGAGGCUCGAAAGUGUGGGUAGCAAACAGGAUUAGAUACCCUGGUAGUCCACACC